RNAcentral lists this long non-coding RNA (6366 nucleotides) under Medicago truncatula (barrel medic). RNAcentral's name for it is "long non-coding RNA (MTRU_LNC002759)". Lineage: Eukaryota; Viridiplantae; Streptophyta; Magnoliopsida; Fabales; Fabaceae. The record is from RNAcentral.
GGAGAUUCAUGAGAGAGGCGUUGUCUAUGGAAGAAAAAAUUGCUAUUUAGAGGUAAUCUUACCAAUUAAUCACGACAUGUAUGUAUUUAAUAAGAAUAAGGGUGCGUUUAGUCUGACUUUUUUAAGGUCUAAAAGUCAUUUUAAAGCUCAAGUUGUAAAAAAAGAACUUUAGAAUUAAAGUUGAAGUCGUUUGGUAAUAACUGUCAUUUUAGCUAAAAGCUAUUUCAAAAAGUUACUAAAUUAUUUUUUUAGAGAAAGAGUUGCAAAUUAUUCGGUUAAGUGUUAAAAAAUAAAACAUUGAAUAAAACAUUGAUUGUUGUCAUGCUAUUUUUUUAAUUAAUAUUUUUUCGUAUCAUCAUAUAAAUGAAUGAUUAUAUUAAAAAUAAAGAUCAAUUUAUUUGUUCGUAAAAUCUAAUUCAAUUGACAAUUUUGAUGUUAUUAGGUUGAACACCUUCACUUCAGUUUGAAUUUAGAUCAUUGUGGUUGUGUAUGUGAGUUGGAUGUGAUGUUUUGUUUCGUCUAUGGAGAAGACAAACUCGAUUCUUUUUUAAAAUAACAUUAUUUACGUUAAUUGUAAAUAGAAUGAAUAAAAUGUAUAUAUUGUUUUUUUUAAAAGAAAAAUGUAUAUAUUGUUGUAUUUUAGAGUAUAUUUAUUUCUGUAAAAAAAUAAAAGAAAGAGUAUUUAUGUAUUGAAUUAGUUUCCUAUCUCUUUUCCACCGUCUCUCAAGUUUUUAUUGCUUUUUUUUUUUGGGAGAAUUUUGUUGUUUGGUUUAAUUUAUUAUAUAUCUGUUUUUGGUUAUAAAAAUGGCCUGAGGCAAACGAACAAACUUUGAUAGGUGAAAUAAAAUUUUGAAAAAUAAAAAUGAAGUGGCCAGUAGGAAUCGAACGGGAUAACAUUAAAGAAAGCAUCGAAAAGCCAGUUUAAAAGUAAGUUUCAACAACUUCUCCUUUUGUUCAAUUUUGCACACAAUAUAGAAGUUCCUUAAUUAGUUAAGAGCUUUGUGCAAAUUUUGUUUGGCCCUCCUUUUCCUUUUAAGGAGAAGAGAAUAAGAAAAAGAGUCAGGCCAAACGCACCCUAAGAAUAACUAGGCAGCAUAUUGUAUGGGAUUUUUUGUUUUUGUUAGGGGAGCCUUUUUUUAUGAUAGGUGUUUGCAAAACUUGAAAUGGAUAGUAUAUUUGAUUAAUAAGAAGAAGAAAAAAAAACAUAAUAUUUGUUCUACAUUUUAUUUUCAUGAGCUGAACACAGUUAUGUAUUUGUGAUAGGAUUAUGGAUGCUAGAAUAAUGAAUCUUUUAGUUUAUUUUAAAAUAGGAUCUUUUAAGCAUAUUCUAUUAAUUUGUUUGAUAGUAUUGUUAUUGUGUAGUUGAUGUACUUAUCUUACUAUGUGUAUGCAUUAACCUAUAUAUGUAUUGUAUUAUCUCAUUAGAAAUGAACGAAGAAAAAUGAAUGAAAAGUUAUUUUAUCUUAUCUUAGUUUUUAUUCUUCUUUAUCCUUUUAACUUAAAACCUUAGUUUUAUCAUAGUUUGUUAUUGAUAGCUUUUGGUUUCUAAUAAUUUGUGUCAAUAUAAAUUUUACUUAUAUUUGUGUCUACAUAUGAUUUUGCUAUACAUAGAAACCCAUAAUAAAAUGAAUUGAAUUAUUGAUUAUUUUAUCACUAUUCAAAACAAGUAACAACUAACAACAAUUAAAUAUAAUCAAAAUCCUUAAAAAAAAAAUUUUUUUUUUUUUAAGAAUAGUUAAAUUUCAUAUUUGUGUGCGUGGUGCAGUUUGUCAUAUUUGUGAUGUUCGCAAUCUUCAAUGAAACUAAACAUCAGCAAUAACAAACCCAAACCUGUUCUUCAAGACAUGCUCAGUACUCUCUUCUCUCUCUCUCUCUCUCUCUAGCAUUGCAUUGUAUGAUUCUGAUUUUUAUAAGCUUUAUUUACUUCUGUGACAGAUUCUGAGGUCUGUUACCUCCCUCCAUUCUCAAUCCCCAAAUCAUCUUCCUCAUCUCAAAUCUCCUAAAUCUUGUUAUUUCACAAACCCAUCUCUUAAAGAUGCCAUUUUUUUUUGUUUUUUUUCUUUUUUUACUGAAUUUUAGCACUGUUAGCUGUUACCCUGUUAAAUUGCACUAGGUAGUUAGGUCUUGUUUGGAUAAACUUUUUAAUUUAGAGAUUAUCAUAUAAGUGUUUUAUCUAUAAGCUAUUUCUAUUACAAAAGACAAAAUAGAAUCAAACCAUUUUCAUAUAAGCUGUUUUCAUAAGCUAUCCUAAAGAGCUUAUGAAAAUAUGCUGAACACAACUUAUGAAUAUUAUAAGCUGUUUCAAUAAACUCUUUCAAAUAAUCUCACAAGAGAUAAACUCAAAUAAGUCAAUCGAAACAAGCCUAGUUGGUAGUUGAACAUCUAGCAUGGAGUUUCCUGUUGCAAAGUUUAGGGUGGUCUCAACAGACAUGAAUAACUCUUUAGCUUGUGAACAAUUAGUUGUGUGAAUACACACUUUGAUAGUUCUUUUUACUGUGGAGUUUGUACAAGUUUAGAAUGGAAUGAUGGAAUACUUUGUUAUCAUAUCCAAUCCAAGAUUUUUAACUGCUUACAUAGAUACUUUAAAUUUCUGUACAUUUGCUUUGCACCUUGAAAAUUCAUCUCACAGAAGUUAUGCUAGGCUUGAAUGUUGAAUGAGUUCUUUUACUGUCAAAUAGUAGUUGCUCAAGAAUAACGAGUCACAAUUUAUAGCACUUUAGCUCCUCUUUUGGUUAGUCAGAUUGAAAAUUUAGAAUGCACAUUGUGUGUAUAGAAUUAUGUACUUUAUCUACUGCUACUUUUGGGACAUGACAUUGCUACCAUCGAAACUCUUUUAAACUUCAAAGAUGCCAUGGUACUGUUUUUUUUUUUUUUUUUGCUCAUGUAGGAUGUUUCACAGUGAUCUGUCAUGUGUGGAAGUUGUUACAAUGAGUGCCUUUAGGCUAUCCAACUUUAACAUUCUCUUCAACUGCAAUUAUCAAUGUUUUGAUGACUGUGUAAAGUAAAGUUAGCCUUAGGUUUGAAGCUUCAUUGAUUGAACAUGUACCUAAAAAUUUGGUCAAGUUCUUUGUAUGAUUGCUAACUUGUGAGUGGAAUUUGGCUUCUCCAUUUUGCAUAUUACGGCAAUCACUUCAGAUCAGAUAAGUCCCUGCAAAUUAAUAUCUUGCAAGGUCUAAAUAACUAGCUGGUGGAAAUGAAUGAAUUGUAUCCAUUCAUCAUCCCCUUCUUAUAGAUUUGGGAAUGAACAAUUUAUGUUUCAAAGUAAAAGCAUAGAGUUUCUCAUAUUGAUAUAUUUUUAAUAAUUAUUGUGAUAGAAGCUUUAAACACAUUUAACAUAGAAAAUAUGGAAGGCAGAGGAAUGAAAUCGAGAAUGGAUGGAUCCUCUCAUAUGUGUAAUUUACACAUUAGAGAGUAAAGUGUAAUCUUUCAUCCUAACACAUCAUCACACUUAUUCUCUCAUGUGUAAAUUACACAUGAGAGGAUCCAUUCCCAGUAAAAUCAUAUUCGGAAGGAAGAGUGUUAAAAAUGCUUAACAUCAUUGAAUUUGAAAGAUGUUAAGUUGUUCUUUGAUUCGUCUUAAGGAUGCAGGAAGGAGUAGAGCAGUGGGAGUGGAUCAUGAUUUUGGAGAAUGGUUGCAGGGAGGACAAAACAAUGGCGAGUGUGAAGAUUAUAGUUUAUGUUUGAAAGUCUGCAUAACCUACAAGCAGUUAAGUUACAACGUCUCUAUUGGCCAAUAGACUUACAGGAAAAGGUAUCUCCUACUUCUCAAAUUAUAUCUCUAGCCCCACAAAUUAUUUGCAGUACCUAAAUAAAUUUUCGAUUCUGUAGAUUUUUAAAGUUUGAGUUUGUCGUGAUAAAAACAGGUUAUGGCAAACUCAAACAACUAUGUCGAAACACAAUGAAGGUAGGAAAUUUUUAUUUCUUAAAAAUCUACAGAAUUUACAAGAUUUGCGGAAAACUAGGAAUAGAGGUAAAAUUUAAGGGGUAUAGAGUUAAAUAAAGUGUGUCGACACAAAUUGUUCAGCUCCUGCUCCCACAUAUAUUUAACAUAGAUUUACAAAUUUAAUACAGGAUUUGGUACUUUACUUUGGUUAGCCUUUGGAUUUAUAGCACAAGUAUUGUGUCAUAGAACUCUACGCGUUCAAAGGAUAAUAAUAACAUGACAUACUAUUGGCCAGUGACAAAAAUUAUAAAAUUACUUGUAUAAAGAAACAUGGUAGUAUUUAGUUAGUAUCUCUUGAAUUUCCCCAACAAAUAUAUUUCAUUCCCUUUAUUUCUUGAACAUCAUAUAGUCACCCUCUCCCUUCAUAUAUCACUUGAAAAUAACAGAUAUUGGUAUCCUAACAGCAUGUUUAUCAGAAACCCAAGUGAGAGAACCCUGAGCAUAAGUAUUGUUCCCUCUACUUUCCUUAGUUUUUGGUAUAAAAUCGACCGAAUAACUAACCUUCUCAUCGACCUCACUAAAUGUUAUUUCACUAGGAUUAACACUCAUACCAAAAGCCAAAGGGACUUCAAGUUCAACUCUAUAGGUAGAAUUUGCCAACCCAACAUUAGUCAAAGUUCUUGUAUAAUACUGUGAAUCUGAUCCCAACAGAAUAGAAAAAGAAGGAUAACUCAGUUGAGCUUCUGGUAUACUUUUCACAUUAGAGCAGUUCACUACCCACUGAGCAAUAAGUUCAAUCUCUUGAUCAGUAUAACCCAAACCACACAGAUAAGGAACGUAAUCUUCUGGUUGAAUAUCAUAAACAAGACCAGGAUCAUUAGCUUUAACAGGAUUAACAUGUCCUGCACCAGUAGCAAAAACAUCAGCAGGUGAAAGUCUUUGAUCCAAUAUAGGAAUCCCGCCGAGGUUGAGAGUAUUAGCAGUUGUCAUGAUUGCUGAUUUUAUUGCAGCUGGCGACCAAUCAGGAUGAGAACUUUUGAUCAAUGCAGCAAUGCCACUGAGAUGAGGACAAGACAUUGAAGUGCCAGAAGUAAUGGCAAAAGGUGGAGUCUUGUUGUCAAUUGAAACAGGCCAUGCAGCUAGAAUGUUGACACCUGGACCAAUGAUGUCUGGUUUAAGAAUUCCAGGACUUUGUUGGCUUGGUCCUCUUGAAGAAAAUGAAACAACAGAAGGAGCUAAAGAAUCACCAAUUACUGUUCCUUUGAAUAACAAUGUUGCUGUUGGAUUGUAGGUUGAGUUAAUGUAAUCUUUGAUUGUUAAACCAGCUGCAUAACUCACUUCAACUGCUGGCAGAACAUGAGCAGUAGCAAAAGUGCUGAAACCAUCACUUUCUGAGUUUACAAGAAUCACUGCUACACCAUUUGCAUUUAGAACUUCUUGUCCUUUCACAAAGGUUGAAACAUCUUCACCUAUAUCACACAACACAACUUUUCCACUUAGAUCAAUAUUCUUUAGGGAGCCUGGAAGACACAAUGACUGAUUUUGUGUUUGGUUUCCAUAUCCCAAUGAACCUGCAUACACAAGUGGAAAUAAUUGUUGAGGAAAAUCCUUAGGUUGGAAUAAUGUUUCACCCUCAUAUUCCUCUCCAUUUCCUAGUUUUGCUGAUGCUACUAUUUUUCUGUCAAUUGUGCUUGCACCUACAGUGAGGAUCCAAGGAGCUUCAUUGGAGAGAGUGCUGUAUUCAGGGCCAGAGUUUGCGGCAGAGCAGCUAACAAAAAUACCAUUUUGAGUAGCAGCAAAAGCACCAAUUGCAAUUGGGUCUUCAAAGAAUGGAAGAGAACCUAAACCAAGUGAAAGUGACAGAACAUCUACACCAUCUUCAAUAGCUAUAUCCAUUGCAGCUAAGAUAGCACUUUCGGGGCAUUCUAUUUUAUCAUUGCACACUUUGUAUAUUGCUAAGUGAGCAUUAGGUGCCAUACCAGCUGCUACACCUUUAGCAUUACCAAAAACACUUGCAUCUUUUAUGAAUCUUCCUGCAGCCUCCGCAGCAGUGUGCGUUCCAUGGAAAAUGUUUUCAAAUGGAGGCUCUUGAAUCGUACUUUUGACUAAACUUCUUGCACCAAUGAGCUUAUUGUUGCAUAUUUUCAUUCCAUUGAAUUCACAAUGGCCUUUCCAUUUUGCAGGUGGCGGCGGCAUUCCUUCGUCAUUGAAUGAUGGAUGAGAAGGGAAUAUUCCUGAGUCUAUGACUCCAAUUAUGACACCUUUUCCAAGGUUAUCAUCAUUCCACAACCCCUGUCCAUGCUUCAGACCCAAGAAAGUUGGACUGUGAGUUGUGUGUAAUGAAAGUGUCCUUUCAGGUCUUGCUAACAAAAUUCCAUCUUUCUCUUGAAGAGAUUUGGCUUCUUCUGGUGUCAGCUUCACAGCAAAUCCAGAGGCUACAUGGCGGUAUGAGAAAACCAUUCUGUCCUUGUGAGGAAAAUUUU